CCUUUCUCGGCCUUUUGGCUAAGAUCAAGUGUAGUAUCUGUUCUUAUCAGUUUAAUAUCUGAUACGUGGGCCAUCGGUCCACAUGAUAUUAAAUUAAUUUUUUUAGGGGGAGAGCUCACUCACAAUAGCUUGCUAUUGGGGCUCUUGCGCGUCGCCCAAGCGUUGCACUUGCUGCUCGGGCCUGGCGCACCCCACCCAAUUCCACUCCAAAUAUUUAGUGAACUUAGAAAUUUUUAAAGAAUUGUAUUAUUUUGAUUAAUUGUUAGAUAAAUUUAAGAUUAAUUUUUAAAGAUUAUCUUAGUUAUAUUAUGAAUCAUGAAUUAGAACAAAAAUGGGUAUGUGAGGUCAUUAAAUUUUUUAAUGGUUUAAUGAGUUAAGAAGCCUAUAAAUUUUUAACCUGGCUUUGCUUAUGACUAUAGUACAACUUAUUUUCAUUUCCUUUUUUUGAGUUAAAAUUUAAGAUGAAUCUAAGAUUAUAAUAAUCAAAAGCCACAAGCCUUAAGGCACAAACUUAAUUAAUUUUAGUUAGUUUGAGUUGAACUAAAAUAGGAGGUUUGUAAACCCAUCAGCAUAGGUUUUCUCCCCUUUUAAUUUGCAAGGUUAAAAGGAAAGUACCCUUGAUCCAUAUUUUUGAAUAAAAUUCAAAUUGCUCAGAAACCUUUUUAAUCAAUUUUAAAAAAAAUGAAAAAAGACCAAUUAAUAAUGAUUUGGAAACUGAUCAUUGUUUCCUUCGAAUUUCACAAGUCUGUAUGAACCAGAGAAAGGAAGGGAAGCUAGCCUAUUCUCGGUUUGGAAAUUCAUUCAUCCCAUAUUGAACAAGUAGAAGUAAGUGGCAGGGAACAGAGGAAGCAGAGACUAUAAAUACAGGGCAGGUGGCAACGAUCAAACAUACUUACCUGGACGGGGUCGAUGGGUGAUCAGAAAGGCUCAUGGCCUAAGCAAGCGGCCUCCAUUGCACUGAGGAGGGGCGCUUGCCUAAGGUCUCCCCUAGUGGGAGAGCCUACGUCAUAAUUUGUGGUAGUGGGGGCCUGCGUACGCGCGGCCCCUGUCCAAUUCUAGUAACUAACGUUUGAAGAUCUAGGUUAUGUAGGGAUCAGGGCUUAAGGCCUUUGCUGGGCUCACCAAAAGUCCUGUUAGCUUAUUUUCUUAGUGGAGUCCCCACAUCGACUGAAGCAUGCGUACAACAAAGGGAGGGUAGAUUAAGGCCUGCAUAUGCCAAGUUCCCAACUGUUUUCUUGAUGAAGCACUUAUUAAAGUUAAUUGAAUUUCAGUAAAUUGCGAACAAUUUGGAUGAACUUGGGUUUGCUUUCAACAUUGCCAUCCUGCCACUUCUUCAUUCUUGUUUCCUAUAGGCAAAGCACCAGAAUUCUCCUAAACCCGAAGCCUAUGUCUUCUUUCUUUGUUCCACAGGGUUGAGAAAAGAACAUGUUUAAGUUUCUGAGUAGUUCAACAGAUUACCUGUUUCUCUCAAUCUUUAGCCCUGUUUUGCACCAAAGAAAGUUCGUUUACAUCCUCAUCGUUCAAUGACUACUCUCAUGAUUGAGAAGGGAGUUUUCAUGAUGAACCAUAGAUACUAACCCCAGUUGCAAACUAUGGCACCUAAUCCACAAUUUCAACGUUUCUUUGGUUGUGCUUUCUCGACAAGUCAACUAGUGACCCAGAAAAAACUGUCUUCGUUGUUUGUUCCGCUGGGGUAAGCCGAGUAAAAUAAUAUGAUUCAGAAAAGAACGUGUUCCAAGUUUCUAAGUAGUUCAUAGAUUACCUAUUGCUCUCCACCUAGGAAUUCGAAUCCCCUAACUAACUCUGUUUUACACCCAAAAACCAUAUUUAUCAAUAUCAUAUGUGUAUGGAUACAAUAAAAAAUUAUAUGUAUUUAUAGUUAUUUCGUAUUUGAUUAAAUAUUGAAAAUAUAUCGUGUGAUAUAUAAUAUGUAUUUUAUAAUAUAUAAAAUAUCAUAUGAUAUAAUCGAUAUAUUUUUUAUAAAUUUAAUUCUAAUUAAUUACUAAAAAUUUAUUUUUUUGUUUUUUUAAAUUGACACAUUAAAAAUUAUUUUUCAUGAAUUUCAAUUUUAAAUAAAAAAUAUUCAAAAAAUUGAAUUCGCUUUUGAUUUCAACAUGAUAAGUUUUUUUAAUUUUUAAUUAAUAAAUGAAAAUGAAAAAUAUAUAUUUUAUUUAAAAAUAUAUAUUAUUAAGGAAUAUGUUGAGAGUUUAAAUUUAAAAAAAAUCUCAUUUUCAAUUUAUACUUUAUAAUGUUUAAUUUUUUAAAAAUAUAAUAAUUUUAAAGGUAAAAUAUAUUAACACAAAUGAAUAUUUCAUUUUAAAUGUGUAAACAACGUUAAUACCUAAAUAUAAAAAAUUUAAAAUACUUUUUUUCACCUUUUCCUUUCUCUUAGGCCGAUUAGACUGACCGACCACCCAUUGCCCUGGGCUCCCAUGGGGCACACCCUCCCCUGCAAAUCACCAAAUCGAAGCAAGGAGCUCCAAAUUGGGCUCCCCAAGGCAACACCAGAUCUGGUGCUCAAUUGGGGAGUGUCGUCGACCCCGGUAGCCAAAAAGAAUCUUUUUUGAAAUAAAGAAAAAAUUUUAAAAUAAAAAAUUAUAAUUUAUAUAAUAAUAAUUUUUAAAAUUAAUAAAAAAUAAAAUUAUUUUAAAAAUAUUAUCGCAUCAUCAAAUUAACAUAAACAUUAACAAUUGACUAAUAACAAAACUUAUAUGUUUAACAAAAAAAGUUUUUUAAACAGAAUAUUUACGUUGAAAACUAGUAAACUUAUAUAUAAUUAUAAUUAAAAAUUUAGAGUAUUAGUGUAUUUUAUAUUAUUUUUAAUUUUUUUUAUUUUAUAUGUAUAAAUAUUAUUUAUAAUUAUUUUUAAAAUUUUUUACUAUAUUUUACGAUAUGAUAUUUGAUAUUAUAAAAAUAAAAUUUUAAUACACUAUAUGUAUUUUAAUUUAAGAAUUAUAUAAAAAAAAAAUAUGUUCUCUCUUUUGUUCAAAAUCCCACAUUAAAACUAUACGAGACAAGUGGUGAGAAGCUGCCUUUAAAAGAAACGACCCCUGGAUGGCAAAAGCAUACCUUUCUCGGCCUUUUGGCUAAGAUCAAGUGUAGUAUCUGUUCUUAUCAGUUUAAUAUCUGAUACGUGGGCCAUUGGUCCACACGAUAUUAAAUUAAUUUUUUUAGGGGGAGAACCCAUCUACAGUAGCUUGCUACUGGGGAUCUCGUGUGUCGCCCUAGCGUUGCACUACAGCUUGGGCCUGGCUAACCCCAACCAAUGCCAGUCUAAAUAUCUUUUUGAAUUUAGCCAGUCUAAAUAUCUUAUUGAAGAUAGCAGUAUCCCCAAAUACCAGUCAUGACAGCUCGGGCCUGGCACGACCCACCCAAUACGAGUUUUAACAUGUGUUCAAAUAUUUGAGGUAAUAUAUAUAUUAUUUGCUUGAUUUUUUAUUUAAUAAAAGGUUCAUUUUAAGGUCAAAAUUAGUUUAAAUUUUUUAUGAAACUUAUGUUUGAGUAUUUUUCCAAUUUAGAAGUACAGAUAAAAUUAUGUUAAUUCAAAAAUGGGUUGCAAAUUUAUUGGAUCUUUUAGUGCAGUAAAUAUAUGGUCUGUUCCUUUUUGAGUUAAAAUUUUAGUGUGAAGCUAGAAUUAUUGCAAGCAAAAGCCACAAGCCUGGAAUCUGCAUUAAACUUGAAUUGUUCUAGCUACAAAUCCCAAUUAACAAAGUGUAGCCCUUUAUCCCACGAAUUAAAGUAAAUCACUUAAUUUAAGCUUGAAUUUGAAUUAAAAAUAGGAGGUUUAUAGACCCAUCAACAGAGUUUUUUUUUUAUCUUUUUUUAAUUUGCAAGGUUAAAAGGAGAGUGCCCUUACUCUAUAUUUCUGAAUAAAAAUUUAAUUGUCAGACACUUUUUGAUGAAUUUAAAAAAAAAGAAGAAGAUGAAAGACCAAUUAAUAAUGAUUUGGAAACUGAUCAUUGUUUCCUUCGAAUUUCACAAGUCUGUUUGGAUGAGAGAAAGGAAGGGAAGCUAACUUUGGAAAUUCGUUUGUCCCACCUUACACAAGCAAAAGUAGGGAGUAGGGUGCAGAGGAAGCAGAGACUAUAAAUACAGGGCAGGUGGCACCGGUAAAACAUACUUACCUGGACGGGGUCGAUGGGUGAUCAUAAAGACCCAUGGCCUAGGUAAGCGGCCUCCAUUGCACUUAGGAGGGGCGCUUGCCUAAGGUCUCCCCAAGCGGGAGAGCCUACGUCGUAAUUUGUGGUAGUGGGGGCCUGCGUUCGCGCGGCCCCUGUCCAAUUCUAGUAACUAAAGUUUUAGGUUUCGGUAAUGUGGGGACCAUGGAUUAAGGCCGUCGCGGGGCUCAACCAAAGUCGUGUUUGUUUAUUUUCUUAGAAGUCUCUAAAUCGACUGAAGCAUGCAUGUAACAAAGAAAGGAGAGGCCUGCAUAAGCCAAGUUCCCAACUGUUUUCUUGAUGAAGCACUUAUUAAAGUUAAUUGAAUUUCUGCAGAUUAUGAACAGUUUUGAUGAACUUGGGUUUGCUUUCCACAUUGCCAUUCUGCCACUUCUUAAAAUUUGUUUCCUAUAUUCAAAACGCCAGAAUUCUCCUAAACUUGAAAUCUCUGUCUUCUUUCUUUGUUCCACAGGGUUGAGAAAAGAACACGUUCAAGAGUAGUUCAAUAGAUUACCUGUUUCUCUCAAUCUUUAGCCCUGUUUUGCGCCAAAGAAAGUUCGUUUACAUCCUCAUUGUUGCAUGACUACUCUAAUGAUUGAAAAGGGAGUUUUCAUGAUGAACCAUAGAUACUAACCCCAGUCGCAAACUAUGGCACGUAAUCCACAAUUUCAACAUUUCUUUGGGUGUGCUUUCACAGCAAGUCAGUAAGUGGCCCAGAAAAAACUCUAUGUCUUCAUUGUUUCUUCCACCGGGUUAAGCCUACCAUAACAAUGAUUAAGAAAAAAAACAUGUUCCAAGUUUCUAAGUAGUUUAUAGAUUACUUGUUCCUCCCCACCUAUUUUAAAAAUAGAAUUCGAAUCCUCUAAUUCAAUUCUGCAUCAAAAAAUAUAUUUAUUAAUAUCAUACAAUACGUAAUACGUAUAGUAUUUGAUUUGUAUUUAUAAUUAUAUCGCAUUUGAUUAAAUAUCAAAAUCAUAUCAUAUGGUACGUGAUAUGUAUUUUAUAAUACAAAAAGUAUCAUACGAUAUAGUUGAUACGUUUUUUUACAAAUUUAAAUCUAAUUAAUUAUGAAAAUUUGUUUUUUUUUAUUUUUUAAAUUGAAACAUUAAAACUAUUUUAAAUUAGUUUUAAUCUUUAGAUUUUAAAUAAAAAUAAUAAAAAAUUGAAUUAUUUUUUAUUCCAACAUGAUAAGUGUUUUUAAAUUUUUAAUUAAUAAAUUAAUAUAAAAAUGUAUAUUUUUUUAAAUAUAUAUUAUUAAGAAAUAUGUUGGCAGUUUAAAUUAAAAAAUAAUCCUCUUUUCAAUUUAUAUUUUAUAAUCUACCAUUAUUAAAAGUAAAAUACACUAACAUCUUUAACUUUUAAUUAUAAUUAUACACAGAUUCACUAGUUUUCAAAGUAAACAUUCUGUUCCAAAUGUGUAAAUGACGUUAAUGCCUAAACAUGAAAUGUCUAAAAUAUAUAUUUUCUUUUUUUUUUUCACAUUUUCUUUUCUCUCCAGUUGGCUAGUGACCUUUUUUUACACCGAUCGACCACAUCUACCUGAGCUCCCUUAAAGAGCACUAAAUCGGAGCAAGGAGCCCCAAAUUGGCUCCCCACAAAAGCACUAGAUCUACUGCUCCCCUAGGAGUGCCAUUGGUCACGAGUGGUCUGAAAGAUUUUUUUUUAAAUGAGAAAAUAUUUAAAAAUAAAAAAUUAUAAUUUAUAUAAUGUUAAUGUUUCAAAUUAAUAAAAGAUAAAAUUAUCUUAAAAAUAUUAUUAUGUCAUUAAAUCAAUAGAAACAUUGAUAAUUGACUAACGAUAAGACUUAUAUAUUUAGAAAAAUAGUUUUUUUGACAAAAUUUCACUUUAAAAAUUAAUAUAUCUACGUGUAAUUAUUAUUAAAAUUAAAAGUGUUAGUAUAUUUUAUUUUAUUUUACAUGUAUAAAUAUUAUUUAUAAUUAAUUUUAAAAUUUUUACUAUAUCUUAUAAUAUGAUACUCGAUACUAAAAAAUAAGAUAUCAAUACACGAUACAUAUCUUAAUUUAACAAUUAUGUCCAAAAAAUAACCCAUUUGAUAAUAAUUCUCUUUCGUUCGAAAUCCCACAUUGAAACUAUACGUGACAAGGGGCAAGAAGCUGCCUUUAAAAGAGGCGAGUCUCAUAAAAAGCAAAGCAUACCUUUCUCGGCCUUUUGGCUAAGAUCAAGUGUAGUAUCUGUUCUUAUCAGUUUAAUAUCUGAUACGUGGGCCAUUGGUCCACAUGAUAUUAAAUUAAUUUUUUUAGGGGAAGAGCCCACAACGGUAGCUUGCUACUGGGGAUCUGAGGUGUCGCCCAUGCGUUGCACUAUAGCUUGGGCCUGGCGCACCCCACCCAAUACGAGUCUAAGUAUGUUUUUAAGGGUUGCGUUACAGCGCGAGCAUGGCGCGCUUCUUACGAUAUGUUUUGAAGUGUUGGAGGUUUAAUAUUUA
This 6603-nucleotide long non-coding RNA is filed under the name Theobroma cacao (cacao). RNAcentral describes it as "long non-coding RNA (TCAC_LNC003596)". The stretch from base 3066 to 3262 matches the Rfam family "U2 spliceosomal RNA". The record is from RNAcentral. Lineage: Eukaryota; Viridiplantae; Streptophyta; Magnoliopsida; Malvales; Malvaceae.